RNAcentral lists this non-coding RNA (24 nucleotides) under Arabidopsis thaliana (thale cress). The record is from RNAcentral. Lineage: Eukaryota; Viridiplantae; Streptophyta; Magnoliopsida; Brassicales; Brassicaceae.
GAGGCAAAGUGGGCUGGGCCAACC